GUUUUUUCCCCAGUAUUUGUAGGAGGCCACCAGAGAGACAGGAUUGCAAGGUUUUAAAUAUGCUAGUGUCAUGAGGUCAUGGAUUUCCUACCUGAAACAGAUAGUGUGACUGCCCUGCUAUAGCCAUGUUUGGCCAGUGUAGGAAUUUUGAGAACAGUGAACACUUAAUACUCAGAUGGCAUUUUGCCACCCCGACAAGGACCAUACCUGCCAUUCCAUUGUAGUUCGCCUUGCCCAGAAGUUUUAAAAUUUUUCUUUCAGCCUGGGAUUUCAAGUGUACUACAGCAUCCUCUUCACCUAUACAAGCGUCUGUUGUUUUAAAAGGAAACUGGUGUUUUAUAAGAGAGAGCCCAAAGGAGAUUUGACACACCCAGAAGAGGCAAUGUGACCACAGAGACAGAGACUGGAUGGGCACAACCACAAGUCAAGGAAUGCCAGCAAGCACCAGAUGCUGGAAUAUCUCUGCUAGAACUUGGAGGAAGCAUGGCCCUGCUGACACCUUUAUUUCAAUCCACUGAAACUGAUUUCAGGCUUCCUGCCUCCAGAACUGUGAGAAGAGAAAUUUUCUGUUGUUUUAAGCCUCCAA
RNAcentral lists this long non-coding RNA (586 nucleotides) under Homo sapiens (human). RNAcentral's name for it is "long intergenic non-protein coding RNA 2715". The record is from RNAcentral. Lineage: Eukaryota; Metazoa; Chordata; Mammalia; Primates; Hominidae.